This is a long non-coding RNA of Herpailurus yagouaroundi (jaguarundi), 474 nucleotides long. RefSeq lists it as uncharacterized. The record is from RefSeq and is a predicted model, not a curated record. Lineage: Eukaryota; Metazoa; Chordata; Mammalia; Carnivora; Felidae. The transcript is spliced from 3 exons.
GUCAUCUUCCCCCACCUGGAGGUAAUCACCAUUCUGACUCUUACUGUCAUCGAUUAGUUUUGCCUGCUGUCGAGUUUCAUAGACUCAAAGGUUUUCAGGGCAACAGUUUCCCCCAUGACCCAAUUCUCUGUUGGAUCUAAGAAGAGUUGUUGAUUUUCAGUUGGUUCAGCUUUUUUCUUGUCAUGAAGACAUGAGUGAAGACUUCAAGCCCUUUACUUGUUGGACCAGAAAUCAGAAGUUCACCAGCCUUCCUACCCUUUCCUGUAGAGUGGCUCCAGUAGUGCCUUCAUGAGCAUGAAAGUGAUGAGAACAGCCCAGUCGGAACACAGUCAGAAAGGCAUCUUCCAAAAGUAUUGUCUUCAUAGUGGGCAAUGCAGUAAGUUCUACCAGAAAGAACAGGAGAGACGUGACUGAAACACCUUCGGAGCCUUUUCAGGUCACAGCACCCCUCUACAAUGCCACUUUCAUUCUCCG